UAACAGAGGUGGCAAGCGUUGUUCGGAAUUACUGGGCGUAAAGGGCGCGUAGGCGGCCUUCUAAGUCAGACGUGAAAUCCCCGGCUUAACCUGGGAACUGCGUCUGAUACUGGAGGGCUUGAGUAUGGGAGAGGGAUGUAGAAUUCCAGGUGUAGCGGUGAAAUGCGUAGAUAUCUGGAGGAAUACCGGUGGCGAAGGCGGCAUCCUGGACCAUUACUGACGCUGAGGCGCGAAAGCUAGGGAGCAAACGGG
RNAcentral lists this ribosomal RNA (252 nucleotides) under uncultured bacterium. Its description in RNAcentral is "partial 16S ribosomal RNA". It matches the Rfam family "Bacterial small subunit ribosomal RNA", at positions 523 to 776 of the family's 1533-position model. The record is from RNAcentral.